AUACGGAGGAUCCGAGCGUUAUCCGGAUUUAUUGGGUUUAAAGGGAGCGUAGGUGGAUUGUUAAGUCAGUUGUGAAAGUUUGCGGCUCAACCGUAAAAUUGCAGUUGAUACUGGUUUCCUUGAGUACGGUACAGGUGGGCGGAAUUCGUGGUGUAGCGGUGAAAUGCUUAGAUAGCACGAAGAACUCCGAUCGCGAAGGCAGCUCACCGGGCCGGAACUGACACUGAUGCUCGAAAGUGCGGGUAUCAAACAGGAUUAGAUACCCUGGUAGUCCGCACAGUAAACGAUGAAUACUCGCUGUUUGCGAUACACUGUAAGCGGCCAAGCGAAAGCGUUAAGUAUUCCACCUGGGGAGUACGCCGGCAACGGUGAAACUCAAAUGAAUUGACGGGG
RNAcentral lists this ribosomal RNA (393 nucleotides) under uncultured bacterium. Its description in RNAcentral is "partial 16S ribosomal RNA". It matches the Rfam family "Bacterial small subunit ribosomal RNA", at positions 523 to 918 of the family's 1533-position model. The record is from RNAcentral.